AUCUCUGCGCAUUUCACCGCUACACAUGAAAUGGUGCCUAAUACAUGCAAGUCGAGCGAACGGACGAGAAGCUUGCUUCUCUGAUGUUAGCGGCGGACGGGUGAGUAACACGUGGAUAACCUACCUAUAAGACUGGGAUAACUUCGGGAAACCGGAGCUAAUACCGGAUAAUAUUUUGAACCGCAUGGUUCAAAAGUGAAAGACGGUCUUGCUGUCACUUAUAGAUGGAUCCGCGCUGCAUUAGCUAGUUGGUAAGGUAACGGCUUACCAAGGCAACGAUGCAUAGCCGACCUGAGAGGGUGAUCGGCCACACUGGAACUGAGACACGGUCCAGACUCCUACGGGAGGCAGCAGUAGGGAAUCUUCCGCAAUGGGCGAAAGCCUGACGGAGCAACGCCGCGUGAGUGAUGAAGGUCUUCGGAUCGUAAAACUCUGUUAUUAGGGAAGAACAUAUGUGUAAGUAACUGUGCACAUCUUGACGGUACCUAAUCAGAAAGCCACGGCUAACUACGUGCCAGCAGCCGCGGUAAUACGUAGGUGGCAAGCGUUAUCCGGAAUUAUUGGGCGUAAAGCGCGCGUAGGCGGUUUUUUAAGUCUGAUGUGAAAGCCCACGGCUCAACCGUGGAGGGUCAUUGGAAACUGGAAAACUUGAGUGCAGAAGAGGAAAGUGGAAUUCCAUGUGUAGCGGUGAAAUGCGCAGAGAUAUGGAGGAACACCAGUGGCGAAGGCGACUUUCUGGUCUGUAACUGACGCUGAUGUGCGAAAGCGUGGGGAUCAAACAGGAUUAGAUACCCUGGUAGUCCACGCCGUAAACGAUGAGUGCUAAGUGUUAGGGGGUUUCCGCCCCUUAGUGCUGCAGCUAACGCAUUAAGCACUCCGCCUGGGGAGUACGACCGCAAGGUUGAAACUCAAAGGAAUUGACGGGGACCCGCACAAGCGGUGGAGCAUGUGGUUUAAUUCGAAGCAAC
This 968-nucleotide ribosomal RNA is filed under the name Alsobacter ponti. RNAcentral describes it as "bacterial SSU rRNA". It matches the Rfam family "Bacterial small subunit ribosomal RNA", at positions 1 to 960 of the family's 1533-position model. The record is from RNAcentral. Lineage: Bacteria; Pseudomonadati; Pseudomonadota; Alphaproteobacteria; Hyphomicrobiales; Alsobacteraceae.